AUUUCUUACACCGCAAAACGCAG
Molecule: small nuclear RNA, 23 nt
Filed under: Arabidopsis thaliana (thale cress)
Lineage: Eukaryota; Viridiplantae; Streptophyta; Magnoliopsida; Brassicales; Brassicaceae
Description: snRNA_09665
Source: RNAcentral